GACAGAGGGUGCGAACGUUGUUCGGAAUUACUGGGCGUAAAGCGCGUGUAGGCGGCAAUGCAAGUCGGGCGUGAAAUCCCACGGCUCAACCGUGGAAGUGCACUCGAAACUGCAUAGCUAGAGUCCUGGAGAGGAAGGUGGAAUGCUUGGUGUAGAGGUGAAAUUCGUACAUAUCAAGCGGAACACCGGUGGCGAAGGCGGCCUUCUGGACAGUGACUGACGCUGAGACGCGAAAGCGUGGGGAGCAAACAGG
This 253-nucleotide ribosomal RNA is filed under the name uncultured bacterium. Its description in RNAcentral is "partial 16S ribosomal RNA". It matches the Rfam family "Bacterial small subunit ribosomal RNA", at positions 524 to 776 of the family's 1533-position model. The record is from RNAcentral.